UACGUAGGGUCCGAGCGUUGUCCGGAUUUACUGGGCGUAAAGCGCGCGCAGGCGGCCCGCUAGGUGUCACGUGAAAGCCCCGGGCUCAACUCGGGAGGGUCGUGGCAAACCGGCGGGCUUGAGGCCGGUAGAGGUGGGUGGAACUCCUGGUGGAGUGGUGAAAUGCGUAGAGAUCAGGAAGAACACCCGUGGCGAAGGCGGCCCACUGGGCCGGUACUGACGCUGAGGCGCGAAGGCGUGGGGAGCGAACGGG
RNAcentral lists this ribosomal RNA (253 nucleotides) under uncultured bacterium. RNAcentral's name for it is "partial 16S ribosomal RNA". It matches the Rfam family "Bacterial small subunit ribosomal RNA", at positions 524 to 776 of the family's 1533-position model. The record is from RNAcentral.